CCUACGGGAGGCAGCAGUGGGGAAUAUUGGACAAUGGGGGGAACCCUGAUCCAGCCAUGCCGCGUGUGUGAAGAAGGCCCUCGGGUUGUAAAGCACUUUCAGUGAGGAAGAACGCCUGGUGGUUAAUACCCAUCAGGAAAGACAUCACUCACAGAAGAAGCACCGGCUAACUCCGUGCCAGCAGCCGCGGUAAUACGGAGGGUGCGAGCGUUAAUCGGAAUUACUGGGCGUAAAGCGCGCGUAGGUGGCUUGAUAAGCCGGUUGUGAAAGCCCCGGGCUCAACCUGGGAACGGCAUCCGGAACUGUCAAGCUAGAGUGCAGGAGAGGAAGGUAGAAUUCCCGGUGUAGCGGUGAAAUGCGUAGAGAUCGGGAGGAAUACAGUGGCGAAGGCGGCCUUCUGGACUGAUACUGACACUGAGGUGCGAAAGCGUGGGUAGCAAACAGGAUUAGAUACCCUGGUAGUC
This 464-nucleotide ribosomal RNA is filed under the name Vreelandella stevensii. RNAcentral's name for it is "partial 16S ribosomal RNA". It matches the Rfam family "Bacterial small subunit ribosomal RNA", at positions 338 to 795 of the family's 1533-position model. Lineage: Bacteria; Pseudomonadati; Pseudomonadota; Gammaproteobacteria; Oceanospirillales; Halomonadaceae. The record is from RNAcentral.